AUGAUUUCUCCCUUCGAUUCCUACUUCCUCUGUUCUCUAGAAUAUUGUUGUUGGUUGGAAUCUAUUGUUACAACAAGAAGCUGCACGCUACACCAAUUCAUUACCAUUUACUUUAACAUAGAUUAUUUCAUAUGGUUAUUGGUCAAGACGCAAAAGGCUAUGUUAAUGGUGGUGAAUUCACCAUGA
This is a non-coding RNA of Vicia faba (fava bean), 186 nucleotides long. Lineage: Eukaryota; Viridiplantae; Streptophyta; Magnoliopsida; Fabales; Fabaceae. The record is from the annotation of a GenBank genome assembly.